GUUCCUCUGAAGCGCAACGGCCACCGCUUUGGACUUCUAAUUCAAAGUUCGAGAGGUCGAAUCUCCCCUGGAAUG
This is a non-coding RNA of Trichonephila clavipes, 75 nucleotides long. The record is from the annotation of a GenBank genome assembly. Lineage: Eukaryota; Metazoa; Arthropoda; Arachnida; Araneae; Nephilidae.